Molecule: long non-coding RNA, 406 nt
Organism: Anas platyrhynchos (mallard)
Lineage: Eukaryota; Metazoa; Chordata; Aves; Anseriformes; Anatidae
Source: RefSeq, a predicted model, not a curated record
ACAGUGAUUUGCCUUGUUAUCUUCUGAGGAUAUCCUCUCUAAAGAGUUAGAAGAAACUUUUCAAAAGUGGCAAAACAUAUGUCAUUAUAAUGAAUGGAGCCACUCAUGCCUCCACUGAUAGAUACGGAGAGAUUUGGUAUAUUAUACAGUCCCAUAAGAGACUCUGCAUCUGUUUUCCAGUACAGCUGAUUGUGCUUGGCUCUCCACCAUGUCACUGCAGCAAAGGAAGGCUUGUAGACAACCCAAGAUCUACCUUGAGCAGUGAGACUUAAAAGAGAUGAUGUCUUCCAAAAGAGACCAUGACAGAGAUGGGGAGAAAACAGAAGGGACUUGAGAGAGAGCAAGGAGACAAGAGACAGAGGAGGUGGAGAGGACCUAGGAAGGAUUAUCAGCUGACUGGAGGUAA